This 23-nucleotide small nuclear RNA is filed under the name Arabidopsis thaliana (thale cress). Its description in RNAcentral is "snRNA_14478". Lineage: Eukaryota; Viridiplantae; Streptophyta; Magnoliopsida; Brassicales; Brassicaceae. The record is from RNAcentral.
UAAUCAAAUGACAUUGAUCUAAU